UCCCGGAUUUGGCCAAGUUAAGGCAUCUUAACUUGGUUAAAGGUGGCCUCUACAUGUAAGCUGCCGCUUAGAGAUGAGCCCGCGUCCCAUCAGCUUGUUGGUAGGGUAACGGCCUACCAAGGCAUUUGACGGGUAGCUGGUCUGAGAGGAUGGUCAGCCACACUGGAACUGAGACACGGUCCAGACUCCUACGGGAGGCUGCAGUCGAGAAUCUUUCGCAAUGGGGGAAACCCUGACGAAGCGACGCCGCGUGGGUGAAGAAGGCCUUCGGGUCGUAAAUCCCUGUCAGGCGGGAGGAAAGACAACUUGUGAAUAGCUCGUUGUUCUGACAGUACCGCCAAAGGAAGCCACGGCUAACUCCGUGCCAGCAGCCGCGGUAAUACGGGGGUGGCAAGCGUUGCUCGGAAUUAUUGGGUAUAAAGGGCAAGUAGGCGGUUUGGUAAGUCAGAUGUGAAAGCCCCGGGCUCAACCUGGGAAAUGCAUCUGAAACUGCUAAACUUGAGGAUGGGAGAGGAGAGUGGAAUACCCGGUGUAAGGGUGAAAUCUGUAGAUAUCGGGUGGAACACCAGUGGCGAAGGCGACUCUCUGGCCCAUUUCUGACGCUGAGAGGCGAAAGCUGGGGGAGCGAACAGGAUUAGAUACCCUGGUAGUCCCAGCCGUCAACGAUGGGCACUAGGUGUGGGAUCUUUCGGGAUUCCGUGCCGCAGCUAACGCGUUAAGUGCCCCACCUGGGGAGUACGGUCGCAAGGCUGAAACUCAAAGGAAUUGACGG
RNAcentral lists this ribosomal RNA (772 nucleotides) under uncultured delta proteobacterium. RNAcentral describes it as "bacterial SSU rRNA". It matches the Rfam family "Bacterial small subunit ribosomal RNA", at positions 167 to 916 of the family's 1533-position model. Lineage: Bacteria; Deltaproteobacteria. The record is from RNAcentral.